Molecule: transfer RNA, 76 nt
Filed under: Arthrobacter oryzae
Lineage: Bacteria; Bacillati; Actinomycetota; Actinomycetes; Micrococcales; Micrococcaceae
Also listed under: 1 other name
Description: tRNA-Thr
Rfam family: tRNA
About the family: Transfer RNA (tRNA) molecules are approximately 80 nucleotides in length. Their secondary structure includes four short double-helical elements and three loops (D, anti-codon, and T loops).
Source: RNAcentral
GCUUCCUUAGCUCAGUUGGUAGAGCGUCUCACUCGUAAUGAGAAGGUCGCCAGUUCGAUUCUGGCAGGAAGCUCAA